This 3302-nucleotide long non-coding RNA is filed under the name Salmo salar (Atlantic salmon). Its description in RNAcentral is "lncRNA (ENSSSAG00000114735.1)". Lineage: Eukaryota; Metazoa; Chordata; Actinopteri; Salmoniformes; Salmonidae. The record is from RNAcentral.
GCUGCCUCUCUCUCGUACUGCUGCCUCUCUCUCGUACUGCUGCCUCUCUCUCGUACUGCUGCCUCUCUCUCGUACUGCUGCCUCUCUCUCGUACUUCCGCCUCUCUCUCUCUCUCUCUCUCGUACUGCUGCCUCUCUCUGUUCCUUCUCUGCUGCUUGCACACUGGAAGAGUAGUUCAGUUUCAUGAUAUCCGGUUGUGGCAGUUUGACUGAAUAUUGUGAGAAUAUUACUAGCCCAGGUUGAGUCCAUCAGCCCUCCACAGUGGAAACCCUACGGCCUUCAUUAUUAACCCUUCCACCCCCCUCCUCUUUGGAUGACAAAUCUCUUUUUUUUUUUUUAUUUUUUUUUUUAAAAAUUACAGCUUUUCUGCUACAUAUACAUUUGACAUAUAUGGUACUUUUAUAUAAAGCGGUCACAUAACAAUAAUACAUUUCCAAACAUAAACGAUUUAAUCCCACCCUUCAGCCACUCUCAGCCCAUCCCACCUAUCACCAUAGACCUCAGCUCUUUAAUCCCACCCCUCAGCCAUGCUCAGCCCAUCCCACCUAUCACCAUAGACCUCAGCUCUUUAAUCCCGCCUCUCAGCCCAUCCCACCUAUCACCAUAGACCUCAGCUCUUUAAUCCCACCCCUCAGCCACGCUCAGCCCAUCCCACCUAUCACCAUAGACCUCAGCUCUUUAAUCCCACCCCUCAGCCACUCUCAGCCCAUCCCACCUAUCCCCAUAGACCUCAGCUCUUUAAUCCCACCCCUCAGCCAUGCUCAGCCCAUCCAUCUAUCACCAUAGACCACCCUCUCAGCCCAUCCCACCUAUCACCAUAGACCACCCUCUCAGCCCAUCCCACCUAUCACCAUAGACCACCCUGUAUGGCUUGUUUAAGGGCUAUACUGUAUUUUAAACAUUUUAUUUUCAAUUAGUCGGAAAUGAGAAGUUGUAAUCUGUAUAAAGGCAAUGUUUGAACAAAGGAGGAGCCUUUCUUAAUAAUCGACUGGAGAACCAUUUAAGUAUAACUUAUGUAUGAGUGAAGCUUUUAAUAUUUAAUAAUUUUAGCCCCCCAAACUCCUAUUCAUUAUAUUAACAUGGACGUUUAGUUUCAAAUAAAGUGAAAUAUUUUUUGCUCAUAUGAUUUAAAAAACAAGUCUUCUUGAGUAGGCAGAGCCAUUAGUUGGUAAGUAACUGUGAUAGGAUCAAAGAGUUAAUCAAUGUCAUUUUUCCUUAAAUAGACAAGUACUUACCUCUCCAUGGUUGCAGAAUCUUAAAAAAAAGGGUAACUUUCUAUUGAAAUUAGUUAAGUAUUUUUAUAUUUUUUGAAAUGUGAAUACCAAGUACGUCUACUUCACCAUCCACCCAUUUUAUUGGUAAACACUGUAUUUUAACGAUCCAAUACGUAAUAUGGUACACUUGUUAUAAUUAGGUUUUAGUCCAGAAAAGUAAUCAGAAUCUUGAGACUAUGCAGGGAUCCAGAUUUCUAGUAUUUCAUUGGCCUUAAUUAAUAGAUAUGGAGACAACGGACAGCCUUGUUUUACUCCUCUUAAAUGCUCAAUACUUUAUGAGAAGUAACCAUUAUUUACUAUUUUACAUCUGGGGUUGCUGUACAUAACUUUAACCCCCUCACCCCUCUCUCCUGUAUAAGAGAAUCACAUAAAUUAAAGUAAUCCACGCAUUUAAAUAUAAAUUCUAGGCGUACUUUAAUAAAAUCUGCUGGUAUCUUCGAUGUUUUAUAAUAUUCAAUUGUUUCAAGUAAUUGUUGUAUAUUAUCUCCAAUAUAUAUAUUGUCCAUGGGAGAAAAAAAAAACUGGUCUGAUCAGGAUGAACAAUAUCUGGUAAAACCUUUUUUCUAUGCUAUGCCUUUCACCAGAAUUUUGUCAUUACAGGGCUGGUUAAUAGAACUCCUAUUAUGGUCUGUCUGCCUUUUGUCUUUACCACUCCAGCUCUGGAAUGGGGAGCCCCUGUUCCUGAUGGGAAUGGAGUUCCUUUCCUGAUCCUGUUACAACCAAUCAUUAUCCAGGAGCACACAGGGCCCCCCGGCUCAUGACCUUGAAUACAUAGGCCUGUGUAGAAGGAUCAGUGUGUCGGCCCGCCAUGGCUGAAGGCCUGUGUGUCGGCCCGCCAUGGCUGAAGGAUCAGCGUGUCGGCCCGCCAUGGCUGAAGGAUCAGCGUGUCGGCCCGCCAUGGCUGAAGGCCGGCAGGAGCUUUUAAGGGGGAUUAUACUGUUUUUUGGGAUAUACUGUCCAUGGUGCCCCAAAUGUUGUAUGAAGGUGGUGGAAGGUUGGCUAGAUGAUGGAGCUGGUAUCAGGAGAGCAUUGUGGGUUUUCACCUAUGACCCAGAUGUAAAUGGUAGCUGACUGCAGUGUGUCAUGUGACUGCAGUGUGUCAUGUCAUUUAAGUCAUUUAGUGUGACUGCUGUGUAUCAUAUGACUGCUGUGUGACGUUGUGUUUCUGCGAUACAGACUGAAGAAGGCAGAGGAGUGCUUCCGACAAGCCAAGGAGAAGGCUACCUACAGUGUCAAACCCAAGCAUGCCUCGGGAAUCAAAGCCAAGCUGGGCAUGAAGAUUUAAGAUUGGUGGACGUCCAUUUUUACUGUCGAGCGAGAGAGACGAGGAACAACCAAGUUGGACUGCAUGUACUACUACAGAUGAAUCACUUAGGCUUUAGAACAAGAACCAAAUGACACACUUUUCCCUAUAUAGGACACUACUUUAGACCAGGGUCCAUAAGGCUGUAGUCUAAAGUAGUGCACUACAUAGGGAAUACGGUGCCAUUUGGGACAUAAGAUACUACUUUUUUUUUUUUUUUACUCCAAGCAGCUGUCAGUCUGUCCAUCUCCCGUCCUCCUGCCUGCUCUAUGGGACCGACUCUGCAGGCUUCUGUUAUUAGCUCGUCAGACACACAAACAUCAACAUCCAAUCAGAAAGAAGAGGGAAUCACCAUGAGGUCAGAGGAUGUCAUUAUACCAGAACUAUAUUUAUAGUGUGAUUCCACAGGGACAUACUAAAGGAUGCCUGCUGUAGAGAUACCUGGAGCCACCUUCUCCACAGGGACAUACUAAAGGAUACCUGCUGUAGAGAUACCUGGAGCCACCUUCUCCACAGUCCUACCCCCUACCGUAGAGAUACCUGGAGCCAUCUUCUCCACAGUCCCUACCCCCUACAGUAGAGGUAGCUGGAGCCAUCUUCUCCACAGUCCCUACCCCCUACAGUAGAGGUAGCUGGAGCCAUCUUCUCCACAGUCCCUACCCCCUACAGUAGAGGUAGCUGGAGCCAUCUUCUCCACAGUCCCUACCCCCUACAGUAGAGGUAGC